UAAUACGAAGGGGGCUAGCGUUGUUCGGAUUUACUGGGCGUAAAGCGCACGUAGGCGGUUUGUUAAGUCAGGGGUGAAAUCCCGGAGCUCAACUCCGGAACUGCCUUUGAUACUGGCAAGCUAGAGUCCGGAAGAGGUAAGUGGAACUCCUAGUGUAGAGGUGGAAUUCGUAGAUAUUAGGAAGAACACCAGUGGCGAAGGCGGCUUACUGGUCCGGAACUGACGCUGAGGUGCGAAAGCGUGGGGAGCAAACAGG
This 256-nucleotide ribosomal RNA is filed under the name uncultured bacterium. RNAcentral describes it as "partial 16S ribosomal RNA". It matches the Rfam family "Bacterial small subunit ribosomal RNA", at positions 521 to 776 of the family's 1533-position model. RNAcentral also lists the same sequence under 1 other name. The record is from RNAcentral.